GGAUAAAGCCAUAGAGUCCUGAGCAACAUAGUUCCUCUUUAUCAGACUGUCCUACUAGUCAGCUUAGCACUUGGUGGGAAUGGCUGGUGUUUCUCAAGCCCGAUUCCUUUCUUUGGAAGAGGGGACACUGAGAUCUGCAGCAUGUAACUUACCAGGAUCUGUAAGCUCACCAGACCCACUGCCUCGGAGCAGAAGGAAACAGGGACCAUAGGAACAGUUACAGCUGGACUGGCAGCAGGAAGCCGAAGGUGGUGCUACAGGUUAGUGCUGGACCAUGCCCAGCUUGGCAGCCCACAGCACUUCCUCCACUCCUGUGUCAGCACGGCAAUGGCUCAUAAAAUGACAAGCACCUUCUACUUGGACUUUGCCAACUGGAACCAUCUGUCCUAUGAGCCAUGUCUACCCUGUGGUCUGCACACACCCUGGGAUAGCUAAGAAUCUGUGUAGCCCAACACAGAAGUUUGAACUUACUCAAAAUAUUAUGAGACUUGUUUUGUAUGUGAUGUUAUUGUUGUUACUUGACUGUACAGUUCUUGAAUGUGAACUUGCAAGUGACAUCAUGUUUUAGGGUUG
Arvicanthis niloticus (Nile rat) is the source of this 573-nucleotide non-coding RNA. The record is from RefSeq and is a predicted model, not a curated record. NCBI's taxonomy places the organism in Eukaryota, Metazoa, Chordata, Mammalia, Rodentia, Muridae.